This 494-nucleotide ribosomal RNA is filed under the name Tor tambroides (Thai mahseer). RNAcentral's name for it is "partial 16S ribosomal RNA". It matches the Rfam family "Bacterial large subunit ribosomal RNA", at positions 1928 to 2573 of the family's 2925-position model. The record is from RNAcentral. RNAcentral also lists the same sequence under 1 other name. Lineage: Eukaryota; Metazoa; Chordata; Actinopteri; Cypriniformes; Cyprinidae.
CGGCCGCGGUAUUUUGACCGUGCAAAGGUAGCGCAAUCACUUGUCUUUUAAAUAGAGACCCGUAUGAAUGGCUAAACGAGGGCUUAACUGUCUCCCUUUUCAAGUCAGUGAAAUUGAUCUACCCGUGCAGAAGCGGGUAUAACAAUACAAGACGAGAAGACCCUUUGGAGCUUAAGGUACAAAACUCAACCACACCAAGCAACUUAAUAAAAAGUAAAAACUUUGUGAAACAUGAGGUUUUACCUUCGGUUGGGGCGACCGCGGAGGAAAAUAAAGCCUCCAAGUGGACCGGGACAAACUCCUAAAACCAAGAGAAACAUCUCUAAGCCACAGAACAUCUGACCAAACAUGAUCCGGCCACCAGGACCGAUCAACGAACCAAGUUACCCUAGGGAUAACAGCGCAAUCCUCUCCCAGAGUCCAUAUCGACGAGGGGGUUUACGACCUCGAUGUUGGAUCAGGACAUCCUAAUGGUGCAGCCGCUAUUAAGGGUU